GUUUCGGAACUUUUCCGUUCUUUCGACUACGGUGCAGUAAGAACCAGGGUGUCAAAAGAACUGGGUGGUCCUGGACAGUGAUGCUAGCUCACAUGUCCGUGACCCUAAGUCACUGAAGAACUCUGGUGCUUACAGCUAAAUAUAUUUGGCUUUAAAAUUAUUUAAAUUAUUAUCCCGAUCAAAUUAAAAUCUAAAGGGCUGAGGUAGGAUAGAGUAAGGUCCUGGACUGUAACUAAAGCUUGCAAGUCCGUGCCCUGAAAAACCACCCAGCUCUUCACUAACCUUUAGUCUUAGAACAAGAACGUUUAUAGUGCUUGUAAUUUAUCAAUUUAGACUUUCAUAAUAUUUUUCUCUCUAAGGGGAAAAGCGUUGCUCUUGUGUUAGAUUAGUUAAGUGAUAGUUGCAUUGUGAGAAUGUUAACGAUGUUAUUUUAAAUUUGAAUUAACCUUUAAUCGGUUUCUUAAUAUUAAUUUCUAAAUCUGUGCGAUAUAUCUGUACGAUUAAGAAUUUUUUGACACAGAAAUUAUUAAUUUAAAAUAUAGUUUUGAAGAUUCUGGAAGCAGUGUAAAGCAAGCAUUCAUGAAAGCACAUGUGUACAAUGAGCUUCGUAAGCUGUAUAAAUCUGUUAUUAACAACUGCAUUGAACUGUAUAGAAUUUGCGGUAUGCAUCUGCCAAGUGAACAAAUCCUCCUUAAUGUUCAGAAUAUUAAAAUAAAUUGUGAACUGAACAAGAAGCCGGCCGAGUGAAUAAAGAGGAUUGAUUACAUUAAUGAGGAUUUCAAAGUAUUUAAAAGAAUCUAAUAACUUUGAGAGGAAGAGUAGUCUCUGAAGAUUCUAAAGUCCUUGGCCCACAAACAUCUGUAGAGUUGAUCAAUCAUUCGUUCUGAUGUGUUUGUUGACCUAGAAUUACUACGAAUGGUAUUUCAAUAGUAUAGCAAAAAUUUCAAUGUGUCAAAUUAAUAAACUUUUGCUUUUUAGUGUUAACCUAUUUUAAGUCACCGAAAUAGUUUAAUUCCAUGAGGAAGAAAUUAAAAUUAAGUUGAGUGGAUAUGAGCCAGAUUUAGUAAUUUUUUAACGGAUGAAAACACCGAUGUAAAGAUUGGAAAAUGCUGCAAAAUAUAUAGUUAAAUUUAAAACUUGUUCGAUUUAAAGAGUAUUCAAAGUGUUUACCAUUAUUUUUAUAUAUUGAUUUAUACUUCUGAUCGUUUCAUUUCUAAAUUAAAACUGAACUGGAUUUCUAUCUUUGUUUGCUUUCUUUUGAUUUUUGUUAAAAUCAACAUCUUUUGGAAUUGAUAAAAGAGUUAAAAUAUGGAUAAAAAUUAAAGCGCAAAAUAAAAAUUAAUAAUAUGUAAGCCAUUGAAGCAUUUUCUCUUAUUCUGAUAACAUAAAAAGUACUUCUUAUAUUUAAUAUUGUAUAUAUAUACUAAUAUACUACUUACUAGUAUGCUACAAAUAUAUAAUAUAUACUAACUGUACUAUCACUUGUAUUUAACUAAUCUACUGUGAUACGUUUAUUACUGCAGAUAUUCUAAUAUUGUUCAAUGAUUUAAUUUAUCUCAAACAAUAUUAGUUUUGAAUAUAGGUUUUAUCUGCCUUAUUAUUGGAUUAAAUUAUGCUUAAUUCAGCCUUUUUUGUGUGCAUCGGUACUGCUUCUGUCUCUGGUAUUUUUCAGAAUCUUCUUGAUAUGCUGCUGAUGUGAACCCGCUUUGGGGAGCUGAAAUUGCAAAAGAUGGAAAGUUUCGAAGAAAGCAUCUGACUAAUCUCUGAAAAGCGGAAGUUGUUUUCAGAUGUGUUGCUGCCUACUUUCAAUUAACUUGCUGGCCUAGUAGAAAAUGAAUUUUGCGCCAUUCUCCAAAUUCAAGUGUUGCCGAGAUUGAAAAGGAAAUUGAAAGGGCCAUUUUGUAUUUGUCAAAUGAGAUGAGACUGAUCUGUUCCUCGAAGAUGAUUUCAUUCCCAAAGAUGUGGCUAAAGUUAGAAUCGCAGAACUUUCUGGUCUACGUAAGAUAUCCUGAUUCGUGCGUUAAAAUUCCCAUACCGUCGAGCUAACCGUGGAAGGUUUUCAUGGUUCCCUCUCCAUGUAACGCAAAUGCGGGUUAGUUGCAGCAUAAGUCCUCCAUGAAGGCUAUUUCGAUCCAGGAGUUCUCUCGUCUUCUGGUUUCGUUUCAAGUGUGCGAUCGUAUGGAGCUGAACAGUCAUAAUCGUAAACCCAGAAAUGGGUCUGCCAUCCAACCCUGGUUGAGCAGCAAAUUAAAUUCAGUUGGAUAUCUCUUUUUGCACUAAGCUAACUUGUUGAAAGUUUUCGAGAACAGACCUCCGUGGUUCCUACUCUAAACCCUGCAAUGACAAUUUCUUUCGAAUUAAAUGUUUACAUAAUUGUCAUACUGACCGUGACCUAUUUUUAUUGUAGGAAAGUAAAAUUAUUUUUUGAAGAAACGUAAACAUAAUCUUGUCAAAUGUUUCAAAGUUCAUGUAUUUCCAGAGAUUUUAUUUUGUGUUAUUCAAUGUAAUAGCAGUACCUGUUUUUUACUGUUAGAAUGAAGCAGUAAAAGCUUUGGUGGCCAAGAACCGACCUGCGCUCACAGAGUGAGGUUAUUAAGUGCGGCAAUCGGUAAUAAUGUAGGAAUAAUUUAAUGGUUCAAAAGUUUUCUAUACUUUUUGUAUCUUAAAUGUUUUUGGAAAUAACUCGUUUCUGUAGUAAAAAAGAUAAAUGUAGAUCCAAUCAGUAUUUAUGAAAUUAAAAUUUCCGACGAAAAUUUCUUAACUUUUAUUUUAAAAUCCAUUUAAAAAGUAUUUAAUUCAUGGAAAUAUCUUUAUUUGCGAGACAAAAUGAAAUUCCAAAUUUAUGUUGAAUUAUACUGUCAAAUAUUUUUGUAUUCACUACUGGUUAUAAAAGUCAAAUUUUCAUUAGAAACCUCAAAUCCUUGAUAUUUUUUCUAACCUUAAUUAAAAAUGCGUAUCUGAUAAGUAAACCCUUAAACUCAUUUAAAGAAUUAAUAAGCAAUUUUAAUUCACUCUUUAUAGAUACUCCGGCAAAUCGAAUUUUUCGCACCGAAUUUGUUUUAAAUGAUUUAAACAUCUGAAAUAUAUCAUUCUCACUUUGUAAGAGCAUGAAGGUUAUAGUAAAUUUAUAACAAGUAUAUUUAUUAAACUAAAAAAUGAGAUUGCUUAAGUUGUCAUUUUGUAUCAAAAUAAAUUCAGUCAUGAUUUCCCGAAGCUUUUACUGUUCCAGUUUUUUGUCUGUUCUUUCAGAAAAAAGUUUCAAGAUUUGAAUUUCAUUUACUGUAAUAUAUUUCCAUUCAGAACCAAAAUUUUUUACUCGUAACUUUGUCAUUUAAACGUUACAGUUUUUUAAAAAUACUUUAUGAGUAAACGAGUUGUGUAUAAAACCAAAGGCUAUGUGAAAGUUCUAAACGUUUUUUUUCCUUCAUAGUUUGCUGUUUUAAUUAUUCUACUUUAAAGUGGUAGCAAAUAUUGAUAUUGUAUGAUAUUUUUGUUAUUGUGUUAAUUGUUUUUAGCUUUGCAUUGUAGAUGUUGUUCCAUUGUGUUAUUUAUGUUCUUUUACAUAAUGCAUAGAUACAUGCAAUUCUGUGUCUUGUUCUACUCUUAUUAGCCAUGAAUAAAUAGCUUAUUCUUGA
Molecule: long non-coding RNA, 3635 nt
Organism: Parasteatoda tepidariorum (common house spider)
Lineage: Eukaryota; Metazoa; Arthropoda; Arachnida; Araneae; Theridiidae
Source: RefSeq, a predicted model, not a curated record